Molecule: microRNA precursor, 95 nt
Filed under: Camelus bactrianus (Bactrian camel)
Lineage: Eukaryota; Metazoa; Chordata; Mammalia; Artiodactyla; Camelidae
Also listed under: 1 other name
Description: mir-544 microRNA precursor family
Rfam family: mir-544 microRNA precursor family
Source: Rfam by way of RNAcentral
CUCACCUGGAGAUCUUGAUAAAACGCAGAUUCUGAUGCAGGUCUGGGGUGGGACCUGAGAUUCUGCAUUUCUAACGAGUUCCCAGGUGCUGUUGC